RNAcentral lists this unclassified non-coding RNA (391 nucleotides) under soil metagenome. RNAcentral describes it as "partial contains 5.8S ribosomal RNA, internal transcribed spacer 2, and large subunit ribosomal RNA". The stretch from base 1 to 122 matches the Rfam family "5.8S ribosomal RNA", at positions 35 to 154 of the family's 154-position model. The record is from RNAcentral.
GAUGAAGAACGCAGCGAAAUGCGAUACUUGGUGUGAAUUGCAGAAUCCUGUGAACCAUCGAGUCUUUGAACGCAAGUUGCGCCCGAAGCCAUUAGGCCGAGGGCACGCCUGCCUGGGCGUCACACGUCGUUGCCCCCCCAUCUACUCCUUCGGGAUUGCGGGGGGCGGAUGAUGGCCUCCCGUGCGCCUCGUCGCGCGGUUGGCAUAAAUACCAAGUCCUCGGCGACGCACGCCACGACAAUCGGUGGUUGCGAAACCUCGGUUGCCCGUCGUGUGCGGUCGUCGCGCAUCGAGGGCUCGAAAAAAUUGCCGGGCUCCGGCUCGGCUUUCAACGCGACCCCAGGUCAGGCGGGGUUACCCGCUGAAUUUAAGCAUAUCAAUAAGCGGAGGA